GUGUAAGAUCCAGAUUUCUGAAGGACUUGAGAUGCGGCUCAGAAAUCAACUUAGAGCAUUUUCAUGUCUGACUACUGGUAUUGGAGGUUGAUCCCAUGCAAAGAAACUGGAAGCUGCAACUGUUUUGCAACAGCCAACCAGUCUAAUGAAGAGAAAGAAGAAGAUACAAACCAUCAGGUUGUGGUGUCAGAUAUCAUGCAGCUUGUGCGAGAUAAGCAGGAGGUGCCAGAAAGCACAGCAGAUAUUCUCCAUGCAGGAUGAAACAUUAGAUACUUGCUGGAACUAAAGUAGGAAAGCUUUGUCAAUUCUGUUUAGUCCCUGACAUGAGUACCUUUGUGCUUUUGGUGCCUCAGGUGGCUCCAAAGAAAUUGGAAAAGUGCUUAAGCAGCAGUGUAAUUGAAAUUCAGGAGGGGUUACAUGUCUAACCUGUUUAGGCAUUCUGUAAAUCCCAUUUUUCUGCAUCUGU
Molecule: long non-coding RNA, 466 nt
Organism: Pygoscelis adeliae (Adelie penguin)
Lineage: Eukaryota; Metazoa; Chordata; Aves; Sphenisciformes; Spheniscidae
Exons: 3
Source: RefSeq, a predicted model, not a curated record